GAUCUUUAUAUAAUAAUUUUUUUUUUAUAAAAAUAAGUUAAUUAUUUUUUUUAAAUUAAAUUGUAUUUUAUUGGGGUAAUAAUAAAAUUUUAUAAAUUUUUAUUUAUUAAUUACAAAUUUAAUUGAUUUUUUGAUCCAGUAUUAUUGAUUAUAAAGUUAAGUUACCUUAGGGAUAACAGCGUAAUGAUUUUUGAGAGUUCUUAUCGAUAAAAUAGUUUGU
RNAcentral lists this ribosomal RNA (220 nucleotides) under Viannamyia tuberculata. RNAcentral describes it as "partial 16S ribosomal RNA". Lineage: Eukaryota; Metazoa; Arthropoda; Insecta; Diptera; Psychodidae. The record is from RNAcentral.